This 31-nucleotide non-coding RNA is filed under the name Rattus norvegicus (Norway rat). Lineage: Eukaryota; Metazoa; Chordata; Mammalia; Rodentia; Muridae. The record is from RNAcentral.
UGCUUGGGCGACACUUACACGUCUCUGGAGU